GAUGAACGCUGGCGGCAGGCCUAACACAUGCAAGUCGAGCGAGGACUUCGGUCCUAGCGGCGGACGGGUGAGUAACGCGUGGGAACGUGCCCUUUGCUUCGGAAUAGCCCUGGGAAACUGGGAGUAAUACCGGAUGAGCCCUUUGGGGGAAAGAUUUAUCGGCGAAGGAUCGGCCCGCGUUGGAUUAGGUAGUUGGUGGGGUAAUGGCCUACCAAGCCGACGAUCCAUAGCUGGUUUGAGAGGAUGAUCAGCCACACUGGGACUGAGACACGGCCCAGACUCCUACGGGAGGCAGCAGUGGGGAAUCUUAGACAAUGGGGGAAACCCUGAUCUAGCCAUGCCGCGUGAGCGAUGAAGGCCUUAGGGUUGUAAAGCUCUUUCAGCUGGGAAGAUAAUGACGGUACCAGCAGAAGAAGCCCCGGCUAACUCCGUG
This 433-nucleotide ribosomal RNA is filed under the name uncultured bacterium. Its description in RNAcentral is "partial 16S ribosomal RNA". It matches the Rfam family "Bacterial small subunit ribosomal RNA", at positions 28 to 507 of the family's 1533-position model. The record is from RNAcentral.